This 606-nucleotide long non-coding RNA is filed under the name Dasypus novemcinctus (nine-banded armadillo). Its description in RNAcentral is "lncRNA (ENSDNOG00000051374.1)". Lineage: Eukaryota; Metazoa; Chordata; Mammalia; Cingulata; Dasypodidae. The record is from RNAcentral.
GGAGUAGAGCCAGAGGUUCUGCAUUUUUCACAAGCUCCCAGCUGAUCCAGCGCUGCUGGUCCACAGUGCAUAUUUAGAGUGGCAAGAAUCUAGAGCACAGGAGAGAAAGAAUUGGGACCUGGGAACCAAUGCCAGCAAGCACAUUAACAUUUCUUCUGGGGAAACGGACUUUGGCCUAGUGGUUAGGGCGUUCAUCUACCACAUGGGAGGUCCGCGGUUCAAGCCCCGGGCCUCCUUGACCCGUGUGGAGCUGGCCCAUGCGCAGUGCUGAUGCGCGCAAGGAGUGCUGUGCCACAUAGGGGUGUCCCCCCCGUAGGGGAGCCCCACUCGCAAGGAGUGCACCCAUAAGGAGAGCCGCCCAGCCCGAAGGAGGGAGCAGCCUGCCCAGGAAUGGCGCUGCCCACACUUCCCGUGCCGCUGACGACAACAGAAGCGGACAAAGAAACAAGACGCAGCAAAAAGACACAGAGAACAGACAACCAGGGGAGGGGAGGGGAAUUAAAUAAAUAAAAAUAAAUCUUUAAAAAAAAAAAAAAAAAGAGUAAGUUGCAUACAUCAUGCUCCUCUAACACUUAAAAAAAAAACAAAACAAAAAAAAAAAACAUU